Molecule: ribosomal RNA, 429 nt
Filed under: Bacteroidota bacterium
Lineage: Bacteria; Pseudomonadati; Bacteroidota
Description: Bacteroidetes bacterium partial 16S ribosomal RNA
Rfam family: Bacterial small subunit ribosomal RNA
Source: RNAcentral
UAGGGAAUCUUCGGCAAUGGGGGGAACCCUGACCGAGCAACGCCGCAUGAGUGAAGAAGGUUUUCGGAUCGUAAAGCUCUGUUGUUAAGGAAGAACGAGUGUGAGAAUGGAAAGUUCAUGCUGUGACGGUACUUAACCAGAAAGGGACGGCUAACUACGUGCCAGCAGCCGCGGUAAUACGUAGGUCCCGAGCGUUGUCCGGAUUUAUUGGGCGUAAAGCGAGCGCAGGCGGUUAGAAAAGUCUGAAGUUAAAGGCAGUGGCUCAACCAUUGUAGGCUUUGGAAACUGUUUAGCUUGAGUGCAGAAGGAGAGAGUGGAAUUCCAUGUGUAGCGGUGAAAUGCGUAGGUAUAUGGAGGAACACCGGUGGCGAAAGCGGCUCUCUGGUCUGUAGCUGACGCUGAGGCUAGAAAGCGUGGGGAGCGAACAGG